UACGUAGGGGGCUAGCGUUGUCCGGAAUCAUUGGGCGUAAAGAGCGCGUAGGCGGCCCGGUAAGUCCGCUGUGAAAGUCGGGGGCUCAACCCUCGAAAGCCGGUGGAAACUGUAAAGCUAGAGUCCGGAAGAGGAGAGUGGAAUUCCUGGUGUAGCGGUGAAAUGCGCAGAUAUCAGGAGGAACACCCGUGGCGAAAGCGGCUCUCUGGGACGGUACUGACGCUGAGACGCGAAAGCGUGGGGAGCAAACAGG
This 253-nucleotide ribosomal RNA is filed under the name uncultured bacterium. Its description in RNAcentral is "partial 16S ribosomal RNA". It matches the Rfam family "Bacterial small subunit ribosomal RNA", at positions 524 to 776 of the family's 1533-position model. The record is from RNAcentral.